Molecule: ribosomal RNA, 316 nt
Filed under: uncultured eukaryote
Lineage: Eukaryota
Description: partial 18S ribosomal RNA
Rfam family: Eukaryotic small subunit ribosomal RNA
Source: RNAcentral
CCCUUAGAUGUCCUGGGCCGCACGCGCGUUACACUGAUGCAUUCAACGAGCUUAUAACCUUGGCCGAGAGGCCUGGGCAAUCUUGUUAACGUGCAUCGUGAUAGGGAUAGAUUAUUGAAAUUAUUAAUCUUGAACGAGGAAUUCCUAGUAAACGCAGAUCAUCAAUCUGCAUUGAUUACGUCCCUGCCCUUUGUACACACCGCCCGUCGCACCUACCGAUUGAAUGGUCCGGUGAAGCCUCCGGAUUGGCGCGCACCUCGGUGCCGCCGAGAAGUUGGCUAAACCUUACCAUUUAGAGGAAGGUGAANUCGUANCA